CCGAAGUCGUAAUCUAGUCUGUCAUGGGAUAUUUAUAUGCUUGUGAUUUGUCAUUUUGUGAUGCUAUAACAGCAAUUGCUAUGAAACGGGAACAGGGAAGUAGGAGUUACAGCGCGUACUGGAUAGUUUUGGUCAUAUUUAGAAAGUUUGAACGAUUCUCCUUUAGAAAAUAAAACUUUUGUAAUUAAUUGGCAGUCCAGUUUGGCUUUUUCUAAAUAAAAGUUUUGUAGUCUGUAGAUUUUCAAAUACGAAACUAAUAGUAACGUUGAAAUAGCAUAUUUAAAAUUUUUUUAGCAUUUCUUCAGCUUAGGCCGUAACAAUAACUAUACCCGUAUAACUAUAAGGCUAACAUUUAUUAUAUAUCCAAAUGUUAAAAUGGAAGUUAAUCUCAUUUGGUAUAAUUGAAUCCAAAUCAUUGUACUAAUACUAGUACUAUUACUAGACAACUUUUUAUGUUUCAUGGGUAUAUAAGUGUAAAAAUCACUGUUUUUAAUGUGCAUGAAAAAAAAACGUAAUUUUAAAUAGUCUGUGACUGAAAUUGAAAACGAAAGUAUUAUUUUUUACUCCAAGUUCAAAUUUUAAUACUUUGUAAUCUUUCUGAAAAGAAGGAGCCUUAUGGUCUUGCAUAGAUAACAUUGACUAGGCAAAAACAAAACAGUAAGCCACCAAUAGUGUGGAAAUGAGAAAAUCAUGUUCUAGGAUUAAUGAAGAACAAAUACCAACAAAUUUUGUUCUCUGUUUUGGCUAUGAUGCAGACUGCAGAAGAUGAAGUGAUGUUACUAUGGGAUACCUCACUGAACGUGUGAUUUUUCGCCCACUAAAACAGAGAGAGACAGUUGAAUACAAGUGACAGGUAAAAUUGGCAGAUGAUUUUUGAUUUUCAAGUCAUAAAAAAAUUAUAUAAAAUAACUUAAGAAUGAAUAUAAAUGAUAGUUGCUUAGAAUUUUAUGACAAACUUAUGGUCAACAAGAAAUUACCAGGGGUUAAACUGAGGUAGAACAGUCAGGAACAGCAUUUUGCUUCUUGAGGAUUCAAGCCAUUAGCAUUUAAGGUCUUCUGAUUGGAAUAUUAAAAUAGAUCAUAAAAGGGAAUUCCACUUCUUCCAAAAUCCAAAUUUAAACAAUGAAAAUUGCUAGAAAAUAUUCACUCAUCAUAGUGGUAUCUAUAGCAGGUGUUAAAUAUUCACUCAUCAUAGAGGUAUCAAUAGCAGGUGUUAAAUAUUCACUCAUUAUAGAGGUAUUUAUAGCAGGUGUUUAAUUUUCAUCAUCAUAGAGGUAUGUAUAGCAGGUGUUAAAUAUUCACUCAUCAUAGAGGUAUCUAUAGCAGGUGUUAAAUAUUCACUCAUCAUAGAGGUAUGUAUAGCAGGUGUUAAAUAUUCACUCAUCAUAGAGGUAUCUAUAGCAGGUGUUAAAUAUUCACUCAUCAUAGAGGUAUCUAUAGCAGGUGUUAAAUAUUCACUCAUCAUAGAGGUAUCUAUAGCAGGUGUUAAAUAUACACGAUUGUUCAUUUUAAGUUUAAUAUGAGAGUAUUAUUUAGUUUAUAUAGUGCGAACGUUAAAGUAAGUUAUAUUCAGAAGUGAUAGUUGUGGCAAGUUUGUUUACAUAACUGUUUACAACUCAUUUGUUGUAAAUUGAUAUCAUGUUAUUCAAACUGUCUGAAUUUUUCUCGUUGCUUUGAAUGAGUAUUGUUACAUAAAACCAUCUCAUAGUUUGUAGAAAGUUAAUUCAGGCAAUACAUAGAUAUAUCUAUAAGCGAAUAAGUUAGAUGAAAAAAAGUAAGUUAGAGAAAGUGAAAGUAAGACAAAGUUAGUGCGAGAUAUAAUCAAAUAGACCUAGACUGUGUUUGUAAGUUUAACCUUAAAGAGUGUAUUCUGGUGACUUUUAAAGUGUAAUAAUAGCAGAUUGUAUUGUCAUAACAGAGUAGAGAAGAAUGAUUCAUCUUGUCAAUUGGUUUCUAAAGUAACUGAACCAGCUUAUGAUGAAAAAGA
RNAcentral lists this long non-coding RNA (1987 nucleotides) under Limulus polyphemus (Atlantic horseshoe crab). Its description in RNAcentral is "uncharacterized LOC111085318, transcript variant X2". The record is from RNAcentral. Lineage: Eukaryota; Metazoa; Arthropoda; Merostomata; Xiphosura; Limulidae.